GGCAGGAGUUCAGCACCACGGACAGCGACCUGCGGGUGGGAGACGCUGCCAGCCACGCGGCCGAACUCCGGACUGGGGGCCACGUGGAGGAGGCCUUGGUUCAGCUCUGCCCCAUGCCUCACGGGACACACAUUUAUCACCUGGAAACAGCGGCCAGUGCUCAGGAAGGCUCAUGCCAUUGCGGAUCUGCCUUCAUUAAAUCCAAAGCA
This 209-nucleotide long non-coding RNA is filed under the name Homo sapiens (human). RNAcentral's name for it is "non-protein coding lnc-ENGASE-3:1". Lineage: Eukaryota; Metazoa; Chordata; Mammalia; Primates; Hominidae. The record is from RNAcentral.